AUUGAACGCUGGCAGCAUGCCUAACACAUGCAAGUCGAACGGUAACAGGCCCGCAAGGGUGCUGACGAGUGGCAGACGGGUGAGUAAUACGUAGGAAUCUGCCCUGUAGUGGGGGAUAGCCCGGCGAAAGCCGGAUUAAUACCGCAUACGCUCUACGGAGGAAAGCGGGGGAUCGCAAGACCUCGCGCUAUUGGAUGAGCCUACGUCUGAUUAGCUAGUUGGUAGGGUAACGGCCUACCAAGGCGACGAUCAGUAGCUGGUCUGAGAGGAUGAUCAGCCACACCGGAACUGAGACACGGUCCGGACUCCUACGGGAGGCAGCAGUGGGGAAUAUUGGACAAUGGGGGAAACCCUGAUCCAGCAAUGCCGCGUGUGUGAAGAAGGCCUGCGGGUUGUAAAGCACUUUUGUUGGGGAAGAAAAGCCGUCGGCGAAUAUCCGGCGGUCUUGACGGUACCCAAAGAAUAAGCACCGGCUAACUCCGUGCCAGCAGCCGCGGUAAUAC
RNAcentral lists this ribosomal RNA (503 nucleotides) under uncultured bacterium. RNAcentral describes it as "bacterial SSU rRNA". It matches the Rfam family "Bacterial small subunit ribosomal RNA", at positions 30 to 526 of the family's 1533-position model. The record is from RNAcentral.